Molecule: ribosomal RNA, 254 nt
Filed under: uncultured bacterium
Lineage: Bacteria
Description: partial 16S ribosomal RNA
Rfam family: Bacterial small subunit ribosomal RNA
Source: RNAcentral
UACGUAGGGAGCGAGCGUUGUCCGGAUUCAUUGGGCGUAAAGCGCUUUAAGGCGGUUCGCUAAGUCGCGUGUGAAAACUCCAGGCUCAACCUGGAGACGCCACGUGAUACUGGCGUGACUAGAGUUCGGUAGGGGAUCACGGAAUUCCUGGUGUAGCGGUGAAAUGCGCAGAUAUCAGGAAGAACACCCGUGGCGAAGGCGGCUCUCUGGGACGGUACUGACGCUGAGACGCGAAAGCGUGGGGAGCAAACAGG